UUAGAGUUUGAUCCUGGCUCAGGAUGAACUCUAGCGGCAGGCUUAACACAUGCAAGUCGAGGGGCAGCGAGAUCAGUGCUUGCACUGGUUGUCGGCGACCGGCGCACGGGUGCGUAACGCGUAUGCAACCUACCCAUUACAGGGGGAUAACACUGAGAAAUCGGUACUAAUACCCCAUAACAUCCAGGGAGGCAUCUUCUUGGGUUGAAAACUCCGGUGGUAAUGGAUGGGCAUGCGUUGUAUUAGUUAGUUGGUGGGGUAACGGCUCACCAAGACAACGAUACAUAGGGGGACUGAGAGGUUAACCCCCCACAUUGGUACUGAGACACGGACCAAACUCCUACGGGAGGCAGCAGUGAGGAAUAUUGGUCAAUGGACGCAAGUCUGAACCAGCCAUGCCGCGUGCAGGAAGACGGCUCUAUGAGUUGUAAACUGCUUUUGUACGAGGGUAAACGCAGAUACGCGUAUCUGUCUGAAAGUAUCGUACGAAUAAGGAUCGGCUAACUCCGUGCCAGCAGCCGCGGUAAUACGGAGGAUUCAAGCGUUAUCCGGAUUUAUUGGGUUUAAAGGGUGCGUAGGCGGUCGGAUAAGUUAGAGGUGAAAUCCCGGGGCUCAACUUCGGAAUUGCCUCUGAUACUGUUCGGCUAGAGGGUAGUUGCGGUAGGCGGAAUGUAUGGUGUAGCGGUGAAAUGCUUAGAGAUCAUACAGAACACCGAUUGCGAAGGCAGCUUACCAAGCUACUUCUGACGUUGAGGCACGAAAGCGUGGGGAGCAAACAGGAUUAGAUACCCUGGUAGUCCACGCAGUAAACGAUGAUAACUCGUUGUCGGCGAUACAGUGUCGGUGACUAAGCGAAAGCGAUAAGUUAUCCACCUGGGGAGUACGUUCGCAAGAAUGAAACUCAAAGGAAUUGACGGGGGCCCGCACAAGCGGAGGAACAUGUGGUUUAAUUCGAUGAUACGCGAGGAACCUUACCCGGGCUUGAAAGUUAGUGACGGAUCUUGAAAGAGGUCUUCCCUUCGGGGCACGAAACUAGGUGCUGCAUGGUUGUCGUCAGCUCGUGCCGUGAGGUGUCGGGUUAAGUCCCAUAACGAGCGCAACCCCUACCGUUAGUUGCCAGCAGGUCAAGCUGGGCACUCUGACGGGACUGCCGGUGUAAGCCGAGAGGAAGGUGGGGAUGACGUCAAAUCAGCACGGCCCUUACGUCCGGGGCUACACACGUGUUACAAUGGCAGGUACAGAGGGCAGCUACCCAGCGAUGGGAUGCGAAUCACGAAAGCCUGUCUCAGUUCGGAUUGGAGGCUGAAACCCGCCUCCAUGAAGUUGGAUUCGCUAGUAAUCGCGCAUCAGCCAUGGCGCGGUGAAUACGUUCCCGGGCCUUGCACACACCGCCCGUCA
Molecule: ribosomal RNA, 1398 nt
Filed under: uncultured bacterium
Lineage: Bacteria
Description: 16S ribosomal RNA
Rfam family: Bacterial small subunit ribosomal RNA
Source: RNAcentral